Molecule: ribosomal RNA, 905 nt
Filed under: uncultured bacterium
Lineage: Bacteria
Description: bacterial SSU rRNA
Rfam family: Bacterial small subunit ribosomal RNA
Source: RNAcentral
GUCGAACGGAAACGAUACUAGCUUGCUAGUAGGCGUCGAGUGGCGGACGGGUGAGUAACGCGUAGGAAUCUGCCUGAUAGUGGGGGAUAGCCCGAAGAAAUUCGGAUUAAUACCGCAUAAUCUAUUCGUAGUAAAGUGGGGGACUUUCGAGCCUCACGCUAUCAGAUGAGCCUGCGUAAGAUUAGCUUGUUGGUAGGGUAAAAGCCUACCAAGGCGACGAUCUUUAGCUGGUCUGAGAGGAUGAUCAGCCACAUCGGGACUGAGACACGGCCCGAACUCCUACGGGAGGCAGCAGUGGGGAAUAUUGGACAAUGGGGGCAACCCUGAUCCAGCAAUACCGCGUGUGUGAAGAAGGCCUGAGGGUUGUAAAGCACUUUCAAUUGUGAAGAAAAGUUAGCGGUUAAUAACCGUUAGCCUUGACGUUAACUUUAGAAGAAGCACCGGCUAACUCCGUGCCAGCAGCCGCGGUAAUACGGAGGGUGCAAGCGUUAAUCGGAAUUACUGGGCGUAAAGCGUGCGUAGGCGGUUUAUUAAGUCAGAUGUGAAAGCCCCGGGCUUAACCUGGGAACUGCAUUUGAAACUGGUCAACUAGAGUAUGGUAGAGGAAAGUGGAAUUUCUGGUGUAGCGGUGAAAUGCGUAGAUAUCAGAAGGAACAUCAAUGGCGAAGGCAGCUUUCUGGACCAAUACUGACGCUGAGGUACGAAAGCGUGGGUAGCAAACAGGAUUAGAUACCCUGGUAGUCCACGCCGUAAACGAUGAUAACUAGCCGUUGGGGGGAUUUACCCUUUAGUGGCGAAGCUAACGCGUUAAGUUAUCCGCCUGGGGAGUACGGCCGCAAGGUUAAAACUCAAAGGAAUUGACGGGGACCCGCACAAGCGGUGGAGCAUGUGGUUUAAUUCGAUGC